RNAcentral lists this ribosomal RNA (660 nucleotides) under uncultured bacterium. RNAcentral's name for it is "bacterial SSU rRNA". It matches the Rfam family "Bacterial small subunit ribosomal RNA", at positions 94 to 788 of the family's 1533-position model. The record is from RNAcentral.
AGUGGCGGACGGGUGAGUAACGCGUGAGAAUCUGCCUUGGGGUCGGGGACAACCACUGGAAACGGUGGCUAAUACCGGAUAAGCCGAUUGGUGAAAGAUUUAUUGCCCGAAGAGGAGCUCGCGUCUGAUUAGCUAGUUGGUGAGGUAAGAGCUCACCAAGGCAGCGAUCAGUAGCUGGUCUGAGAGGACGAUCAGCCACACUGGGACUGAGACACGGCCCAGACUCCUACGGGAGGCAGCAGUGGGGAAUUUUCCGCAAUGGGCGAAAGCCUGACGGAGCAAGACCGCGUGAGGGAGGAAGGCUCUUGGGUUGUAAACCUCUUUUCUCAGGGAAGAAGCUCUGACGGUACCUGAGGAAUCAGCCUCGGCUAACUCCGUGCCAGCAGCCGCGGUAAUACGGAGGAGGCAAGCGUUAUCCGGAAUUAUUGGGCGUAAAGCGUCCGCAGGUGGCGAUUCAAGUCUGCUGUCAAACCACGGGGCUUAACUCCAUAAAGGCAGUGGAAACUGAAUAGCUAGAGUGCCGUAGGGGUAGAGGGAAUUCCCGGUGUAGCGGUGAAAUGCGUAGAGAUCGGGAAGAACAUCGGUGGCGAAAGCGCUCUACUGGACGGCAACUGACACUCAGGGACGAAAGCUAGGGGAGCGAAUGGGAUUAGAUACCCC